ACAGUCACACAUUAGAUACCCGGGUAGUCCCAGCCGUAAACUAUGCGCGUUAGGUGUAUCGGUGACCACGAGUCACCGAGGUGCCGAAGGGAAACCGUGAAACGUGCCGCCUGGGAAGUACGGUCGCAAGGCUGAAACUUAAAGGAAUUGGCGGGGGAGCACAACAACGGGUGGAGCCUGCGGUUUAAUUGGACUCAACGCCGGACAACUCACCGGGGACGACAGCAAUAUGUAGGCCAGGCUGAAGACCUUGCCUGAAUCGCUG
Molecule: ribosomal RNA, 265 nt
Filed under: uncultured archaeon
Lineage: Archaea
Description: partial 16S ribosomal RNA
Rfam family: Archaeal small subunit ribosomal RNA
Source: RNAcentral